This 253-nucleotide ribosomal RNA is filed under the name uncultured bacterium. RNAcentral describes it as "partial 16S ribosomal RNA". It matches the Rfam family "Bacterial small subunit ribosomal RNA", at positions 524 to 776 of the family's 1533-position model. The record is from RNAcentral.
UACGAAGGGGGCUAGCGUUGUUCGGAAUUACUGGGCGUAAAGGGCGCGUAGGCGGUGUGUCAAGUCAGGCGUGAAAGCCCCGGGCUCAACCUGGGAACCGCGCUUGAGACUGGCACGCUAGAGUUCGGGAGAGGAUGGUGGAAUUUCCAGUGUAGAGGUGAAAUUCGUAGAUAUUGGGAAGAACACCGAUGGCGAAGGCAGCCAUCUGGACCGACACUGACGCUGAGGCGCGAAAGCGUGGGGAGCAAACAGG